RNAcentral lists this ribosomal RNA (253 nucleotides) under uncultured bacterium. RNAcentral's name for it is "partial 16S ribosomal RNA". It matches the Rfam family "Bacterial small subunit ribosomal RNA", at positions 524 to 776 of the family's 1533-position model. The record is from RNAcentral.
UACGUAGGGUGCGAGCGUUAAUCGGAAUUACUGGGCGUAAAGUGUGCGCAGGUGGCCGCGCAAGUCGAGUGUGAAAUCCCCGAGCUUAACUUGGGAAUUGCGCUCGAAACUACGUGGCUCGAGUGUGGCAGAGGAAGGUGGAAUUCCACGUGUAGCGGUGAAAUGCGUAGAGGUGUGGAGGAACACCGAUGGCGAAGGCAGCCUUCUGGGCCAACACUGACGCUCAUGCACGAAAGCGUGGGGAGCAAACAGG